This 783-nucleotide long non-coding RNA is filed under the name Fukomys damarensis (Damara mole-rat). RNAcentral describes it as "lncRNA (ENSFDAG00000024146.1)". Lineage: Eukaryota; Metazoa; Chordata; Mammalia; Rodentia; Bathyergidae. The record is from RNAcentral.
GAGACAGAGUCUCAUUAAGUCAUUAAACUGCCCAGGCUGGGCUUGAGGCUUGAAUUUGAGGUCCUCCUGCCUCAGCCUCCCAGAGUGCUAGGAUUACAGGUGAGACUUUAGAGAUUAUUUUGUUAAAAAGUGAAUUGAGACAAGAGCAAUGAUCUCAUCUAUGCUUCCCAUUUGACUGACAGAUGACCUACUUCUAACAGGCAAAGAAUUUUAGAAGAGGACCAAUGAGAACAUUAGUGUCGGCACACACACUUCAAUGUGGGAUUCUUCUAGAGAACCAAUCCCUGACUGAAAUAACAGCACAAAUAUGCUGAUGUAUAUGCCUUUCUCUCUUUUCACACAGAAGAUGGGCAAACAGUAUAUGAGGCUGGUGACAGUGGUGGUGACGGGAAGGGUCACAGUGAGACUGAAAGGAGUAAGAGGAGAAAUCAGUCAUCCGGAAAACACAAGGCUGGAGAGCCUAAUCUGGAAAAAAAACAGAAAACAGAAAAUCAUUCAUUGAAAGGUAUGUAUAACUCUGUUUGUUCUUGUUUUUUUGUUGUUGUUGUUUUGUUUUGUUUUUUUUUCCCCUAAUAGCACAAAUGUAAUGAUAUUUUAGAAAACAAGUACUAUUUGAAAAUGCUUUCUCUUUCUGGAGAAAGCAUGCAUAGCUCAUUCCUGUCAUGUUCAUAUUCAAGUCUCAGAUUCUUCCUCAAUAUGUGCUUAGAGAUGAAUAUGGUAUGAAACCAGAAUUCCAUGUUGAGUUGAAUCAACAAAAACAGUUGAGCUGUAACUAGAUCCCAG